UGGAGACACAAGGGAUGAGAUAUCAAAGCAGAAUAUUACUACUAAGUCUGUUUUAAUUUCAUUUCUAUUUAAGAAAAAAGAAACAAACAAAGCAAAAUAACAACAACAAAAAAACCCAAAACCAAACCAAACCAAAACAAAAACCAAGAAAAAACCCCCAAACCACUAACCACCUUACAUAUGACAAGAAUCCUCAAGUUUAAGGACCCACUACAGAACCCUACUGCAGCACAGCUCUCUCUUGUCCAUUUCACUGGAACCCUGAAAACAUCAAGUGCAUUUCGUAAAACCUUAUCACCUACAAAUGUGUUUACAGGCAACUGUCAAUUUUUAUUAAGGAGUACAGUUCUGACAAUGGUAAGGAAAAGCUAGAAAACACAAAUUCUAAAAGCUCAAAAUUAAGCAAAAUAAAAACAAAUGAAUCAUCUCAUCUUUGUAACCUGAUGAUUUUUGUGGAACUCAGCUACUGUAAUGACAUAGGUCUUAUGGAUGUUAAAAGAAAUUUAUUUUAAAAGGAUAGCUAAAAGGGCUAAACAUUUGCAGACAGUAUGAAGACUGAAGUCAGAGCAAACGUUCAGAGUCAACAAAUUCUACAAAAGCCCCCAAAUCCAACAAACUCACAAGAUUAAAUAUGUUUUUACUUCUAAUAAUCUACUGUAAUUUUCAUAAUUAAGUUUGCCAACAGCUUACCUUCUCUGCUUUGCAACAUAACCAUAAAAAAUAAGAUAGUUUGCAGUUAACAUAAAAUUUUUGCUAAGUCAUACCAGAAGCCAACUGGGAAGAGUUACAAAAGGAUCUCAUAAUAAUGAGUACACUGGAUGGUAAAAUGACAUCAGUGUAACAUAAUGAUAGGCAAAAAUAAUGCAGAUGAGGGGAAAAACAGACAAGCAACGAAUAGUAUAUACACAACACUAGGUUCAAACAAGACACUGCUACAGAGGAAAGAUCAUAUGGACAUUACAGGCAAUUCGAUGAAGACUUCUGCCAAAUACUCAGCAGUUAAUGGAAUGUAAAGCAAGCAAAACAUUUGGCACUAUCAAAGGAAAACAGAAAAGAAUUACACUACUGUGUAUAGUCAUGGAGCAUGUAACUCUGGAAUGAUAAAAGAGUAAGAGAACAGCAAUAGCACCAUCAGCACUACGGAAAGGCUUACAUAUACAAAGAGGCAACAGUGAGGCUUUUGACAACAGAAAGAAUAUGAAAUUCAUACAGACUGAUUACAAGGACCACUAAAUUUUGACUAGGACGUGGGGGCCACUCAGUGUUUUACCAGUGGGAAAGCCACACAAAAGACAGCUACCUCUGCAUACAGCAAACUGCACAAGGGUGAAGUUAAAUGGCAGGUGACGUGCUGAAGGUCAAAAACGCGAACAAGUUAAAAAAUAACUUUUCGGCUUAAAAAUCAGAUUAUUUAAAUAGUCACCAGAAUCAACACUGGCUACUAUGGUCGAGAAGGAAAGCCCUCCUCAGUAAGCCUCUCACCCCUGGUGACUUGAGCCAUGUGCCAGUCAAGACACACACUGCUGUCCUCAGCUUACCCUUCUGCCUUCUCCACCUCAGGAUGGUAGCUCCUUAAAAGCAGUGCAGUUCUGCAACCAAAGAUGGCUACAGGUCCAUAGGGGCACACUGAUCGUCAAGCCCUCCUGUGAGAAACUCAACACCUUCAUCUCCUGUUUCAAACAAACUGAUUUCACAGGUGGCAGACUCAUCCUAUCUAGCUUCGAACAGUUAAAUGCAUCACUAGCGACCAAAAAGCAUGAUCUCCUUCACCGUCCUCGUGCCAUUAGGGAGACAGGCACCUCCAGAUGAUGAUACUCAGAACAUGAAGGCACUGGCUUUAUCUCCUGGGGCCAUCAUGAAGCCAUCUAGUCUGACCUAACUGGACGGACAUAUGCCCCACUGCCACCCAAGGACUGGCAGGUAACACCAGCGACUGUGCCACCUGCUCUGCAUUCCAGAGGAAUAAUUUACCAACUUGGGAAGGCAAACAAACCCUUGCAGAAACACAUUUAUUCUCAGGCCUUAUUCCUUCGUCUUUUUGUUGUGUCCUCCUCUCCAAGAGACUAGGGAAAGAAGUUGGGACAGAACAAGAGUGGAAAACCAGAGAGAUGAAAGGGACUGCACCCCUAAUGCCCCAUGGAAGUGUCCAAAGACUUCCAGCUCCACGGGCAAGGUCCAGGUUCUGUUUUGCUGCUAAGACAAAGACCUGGAAAGGACAGGGGAAACACUUAGCUAAACUACAAUAUGAAAAACUCUUCCAGCUUUCCUUCAAGACCACAAGGAAUCACAGUGCAGUCAAAAAUGCCCAUACUUUUACAACAGGUGCAAAUCUCAGAAAAUGUUCUGCAGUGAGUGCCCGUCUCCUUCAGCCAUCCGUCCGCAUGCGGCUGGAAAGGCACCAGCCCCACAGUGCGACUGAGCAUGUAAUGGGCUCAAGUUACAGGAGAUUAGCAGGAUUUCCCCUGUAACUGCUGCUCCCAUCUGCCAGAGACCAGACAUUGGAGCUGACAGCAGGAAGACAAUCUCGCCUGUUGCUCUCAUGACCCUUCGGCUGGUGCCCCAGGGACAUGCAUGAGACCAGCCCUUGAGAGCACACGGCAGAGAGGGUGUCAGAAAAGGCCAGUGGGCCAAAGCAUGGCAUGAAGCUGAGCAGAAGAGGGAGAGACAGCAAUGAGAGGGAAAGAGAGGAGGACACGCAAGAGACAAGAGUCUGGAAAUCCUGGAUCUGGUCAAGCAGAAGGUUACAACACAGAGGAAGAUGGUGCCCAAACCAGAGAAGGGAGAGUAAGCAGCACAGGCACCACGAGCCACCAGGAGCCAUCCACCCUCUCCACAGACCACAUGCACAUACCCCAACAUGUGGCAAGAUCUUCCGUGGUCUGUUAGUUUGCCUCUAAAGAGGGAGGAAACUUGCAAGUUACCUCAACCCCUAACCCCCCAAACCCAAGACAAGUCACUAACACAACCCCUCAAAAGGUGAGGGUUCAGCACCGCCUCCACAAUCCUAUUUCAAAUGCCACUGCUUCACAGCGCAUACACUGGUCUUCAACCACUGUAGAGCUUUAACUGCAGUCAAACAGGGUUGAGGUGCUCCCAGAUACCAUCCCUAGGACUCCUGAACCAAAACCACAAAACUAGCAGCCACACAGAUCCUCGUUAUUAUGGGUUAUUAUGUUUUAGAUCCUCUUACUCCAAAGGAUCAGAAGCCCCUCAACUCAAUAGGGAAUGCCGAAAAAAUAUCACAUCCCAUUUGUGGGCCUUUUAGCUAGGACCUAUCAAAAAGCUCAAGAGAAAAUGUAUGCUCUUUCUCAAAAAUGGCACUUGAGUAGUGUCAUAACAAGGUAUGAAUUCAUGCACUACAGAAAAAGGUAUUUUUAAAAAUAGUUGCUCUGUACACUGAGGAGUUAAUUGUUCUAAAGUGACUGAUUCCAAAUGGAGAUAUGCCCAUGCGCCCAUUCAUUUUCCACAUCGGUUACAAAGAAAAAGGCCAGAAUUUCAAUUUUCAAGCCGAUUUAUACAACCAUUUUAUAUAUUUAAUUGCAAAACAACAUCAUCUUAGAGAAGCUGAGAAAUUCAGAUGUCAAACUCAACAAAGAAUAACAAACAAAGGUAAAUUCCCAACUCAGAAAAUGCCAUCUGCUCUGCUUCACGUGCUCCUGUAAUUAAUGAAUCAAGGGAAAAAUGCUGCUAAAGGUGACUAUUACACACAAUUUUCUGAAUGAUGUUGAUAUAACUUUUGGAGAAAAGGACAAUUUUGGAAGUAAUAAAGAGGAGGAGAACUGAAAAAUGCAGAACCCACACAGUUGUUUUUCCUUCUUUACUCUUGAAUCAUAGUGAUUAGGUCUAAUUCCAGAAACAACAAAACUUGUCAAUUUAAAGAGAGUUUUGCAAGAAGUGUGGAGCAUAUGUAACACUAACACUGAAGUCACCAAGCAAUUUAAGUGACAUUCAGUGUAACAGAUAGAUGAUCUUGAGCCUUGCACAGAUGACCUAUGGCAACAGUGACAUUUUGUCACUGAAGAGAAAUAGGCAUUUGUGGGCUGUGAUUCAUCCUAUCCCAAAGCAGCUAUUCUAAGAGAUUCCAUCAUAUCCUAAAAGCAUCUGUGUUUUUCUACUGGUUACCUG
Molecule: long non-coding RNA, 4125 nt
Organism: Chiroxiphia lanceolata (lance-tailed manakin)
Lineage: Eukaryota; Metazoa; Chordata; Aves; Passeriformes; Pipridae
Exons: 4
Source: RefSeq, a predicted model, not a curated record